RNAcentral lists this ribosomal RNA (298 nucleotides) under uncultured bacterium. Its description in RNAcentral is "partial 16S ribosomal RNA". It matches the Rfam family "Bacterial small subunit ribosomal RNA", at positions 475 to 776 of the family's 1533-position model. The record is from RNAcentral.
CUAUGCGCCUUGCCAGCCCGCUCAGGUGUGCCAGCCGCCGCGGUAAUACGUAGGUGGCGAGCGUUGUCCGGAUUUACUGGGCGUAAAGGGAGCGUAGGCGGACUUUAAGUGAGAUGUGAAAUACUCGGGCUCAACUUGAGUGCUGCAUUUCAAACUGGAAGUCUAGAGUGCAGGAGAGGAGAAUGGAAUUCCUAGUGUAGCGGUGAAAUGCGUAGAGAUUAGGAAGAACACCAGUGGCGAAGGCGGCCUGCUGGACUGCAACUGACGUUGAGGCUCGAAGGCGUGGGGAGCAAACAGG